UAACGGCCCACCAAGGCGUUGAUGCCUACCGGGCGUGCGAGCGUGGCCCGGCACACUGGGACUGAUAUACUGACAAUACUCCUACGGGAGGCUGCAGUCGAGAAUCUUCGGCAAUGGGCGCAAGCCUGACCGAGCGACGCCUCGUGGAGGACGAAGGCCUUCGGGUUGUAAACUCCUGUCGAGGGGGAAGAAGGGCCGUCAAACGUCUUGACUGAUCCCUGGAGGAAGCACGGGCUAAGUUCGUGCCAGCAGCCGCGGUAAGACGAACCGUGCGAACGUUAUUCGGAAUCACUGUGCUUAAAGCGCGUGUAGGCGGGCCAGCACGUCCGGCGCUGAAAUCCCGCGGCUCAACCGGGGAACGGGCACCGAUACGACUGGCCUGGAGGGGAGUAGGGCGACCUGCUAACUUCCGGUGGAGCGGUGAAAUG
Molecule: ribosomal RNA, 428 nt
Filed under: uncultured soil bacterium
Lineage: Bacteria
Description: bacterial SSU rRNA
Rfam family: Bacterial small subunit ribosomal RNA
Source: RNAcentral